UACAGGGGGUGCAAACGUUGCUCGGAAUCAUUGGGCGUAAAGCGCACGUAGGCGGUCUGUUAUGUCGGAUGUGAAAGCCCUUGGCUCAACUGAGGAAGUGCAUCCGAAACUGGCAGGCUAGAGUACUAAAGAGGAUCGCGGAAUUCCCGGUGUAGAGGUGAAAUUCGUAGAUAUCGGGAGGAACACCGGUGGCGAAGGCGGCGAUCUGGGUAGAUACUGACGCUGAGGUGCGAAAGCGUGGGGAGCAAACAGG
RNAcentral lists this ribosomal RNA (253 nucleotides) under uncultured bacterium. Its description in RNAcentral is "partial 16S ribosomal RNA". It matches the Rfam family "Bacterial small subunit ribosomal RNA", at positions 524 to 776 of the family's 1533-position model. The record is from RNAcentral.